GACGAACCGAGCGAACGUUGUUCGGAAUCACUGGGCUUAAAGGGCGCGUAGGCGGUCUUGCAAGUCCUGUGUGAAAUCCCUCGGCUCAACUGAGGAACUGCACAGGAAACUGCUUGGCUUGAGUUCGGGAGAGGGAAGCGGAAUUCCGGGUGUAGCGGUGAAAUGCGUAGAUAUCCGGAGGAACACCGGUGGCGAAGGCGGCUUCCUGGACCGACACUGACGCUGAGGCACGAAAGCUAGGGGAGCAAACGGG
RNAcentral lists this ribosomal RNA (253 nucleotides) under uncultured bacterium. RNAcentral describes it as "partial 16S ribosomal RNA". It matches the Rfam family "Bacterial small subunit ribosomal RNA", at positions 524 to 776 of the family's 1533-position model. The record is from RNAcentral.